This 253-nucleotide ribosomal RNA is filed under the name uncultured bacterium. RNAcentral describes it as "partial 16S ribosomal RNA". It matches the Rfam family "Bacterial small subunit ribosomal RNA", at positions 524 to 776 of the family's 1533-position model. The record is from RNAcentral.
UACGGGGGGGGCAAGCGUUGUUCGGAAUUACUGGGCGUAAAGGGCUCGUAGGCGGCCAACUAAGUCAGACGUGAAAUCCCUCGGCUUAACCGGGGAACUGCGUCUGAUACUGGAUGGCUUGAGUUCGGGAGAGGGAUGCGGAAUUCCAGGUGUAGCGGUGAAAUGCGUAGAUAUCGAGAGGAACACCUGCGGCGAAGGCGGGUUGCUGGGCUGACACUGACGCUGAUGCGCGAAAGCCAGGGGAGCGAACGGG